GAUGAACGCUGGCGGCGUGCCUAAUACAUGCAAGUCGAGCGAACAGACGAGGAGCUUGCUCCUCUGACGUUAGCGGCGGACGGGUGAGUAACACGUGGAUAACCUACCUAUAAGACUGGGAUAACUUCGGGAAACCGGAGCUAAUACCGGAUAAUAUAUUGAACCGCAUGGUUCAAUAGUGAAAGACGGUUUUGCUGUCACUUAUAGAUGGAUCCGCGCCGCAUUAGCUAGUUGGUAAGGUAACGGCUUACCAAGGCAACGAUGCGUAGCCGACCUGAGAGGGUGAUCGGCCACACUGGAACUGAGACACGGUCCAGACUCCUACGGGAGGCAGCAGUAGGGAAUCUUCCGCAAUGGGCGAAAGCCUGACGGAGCAACGCCGCGUGAGUGAUGAAGGUCUUCGGAUCGUAAAACUCUUUUAUUAGGGAAGAACAAAUGUGUAAGUAACUAUGCACGUCUUGACGGUACCUAAUCAGAAAGCCACGGCUAACUACGU
This 496-nucleotide ribosomal RNA is filed under the name uncultured bacterium. RNAcentral's name for it is "partial 16S ribosomal RNA". It matches the Rfam family "Bacterial small subunit ribosomal RNA", at positions 28 to 506 of the family's 1533-position model. The record is from RNAcentral.